AUCAUUUUCACAACAAGUCACCACAACUAGCGGUCGAGUUUUUCCUUGAAUUCAUGGAGCACUCCAACGCCCGACCGGAUCAGUUCCGGUAGCUUUCCGUGUACCCGUGACAGGCUCGUGGAGGGCGGAGCUGCUUGGAGGAAGGAUUCGGCUCCCGAGUUCCGGGGCAUUCUCGGAAAUCAAGGACAUCUCCGAGAGGAAACAGGCAAACCUGUUGGUCUUCAAAAAGUCCCUUCUUCCUCUUCGAACUCGAGAGAUGAGUCGACUUCCAGCUCCGAGGAGCUUCAGAACCCUCGGAGCAACACCGCGAAGAUCCGCGAGAUUACCCGUCCCGAGACGAGAGGUGUCCUACUUCGAGCACCUCAGCAAUCAGAGAAAAUUGAAGACUCUCCUCAUCAAAUUCGUUGCAAGGCGGCUCUAUGGGGGUUUCAGGCCAAGUCAGAAACGGAACACUAAGCUGACGGUCCGCUUGGAAGACCUCCUCACAGUACCGUAUCUCGAAUCGGAAGUUGUCGAGUUCCUCGAGAGAGCCAGACUUCACGACGCGAUUUUUGAUCACGACGAGAUGUUA
Long non-coding RNA from Galendromus occidentalis (western predatory mite), 571 nucleotides. RefSeq lists it as uncharacterized. The record is from RefSeq and is a predicted model, not a curated record. The transcript has 3 exons. Lineage: Eukaryota; Metazoa; Arthropoda; Arachnida; Mesostigmata; Phytoseiidae.